UUUGGACAUGUUAAGCUCCCGGAAUUUAGCCCGGAAGUGGCUGGUAAAAACUGUCCUUCUAACAGUUUUUUCUUAACUUUGUGUAGUUUGGUAGAAAUCCCAUAACUUGCUCCUCCGAUGUCGGAUUUAGUCCGUUUCGGAGUCUAUGGAAAGCUUAUUGAGUGUACUAUAACAUAUCACAAGUCCAGAAUUUUUAGACCACCCUAAUAAAUCCGAAAGUUUCUGUUUAGGGCAGCAGUCCACUAAUUCAUUUAAAACAAAAAAAACUGUUUUGGUUCAUCUUCUUUGUUCAAGCUUAUCAACCCUAAAAAUGACAAGAUCUAACCAUAAAAUAUCAUAUAUCAUGUAGAUCUUCC
Molecule: long non-coding RNA, 356 nt
Filed under: Panax ginseng (ginseng)
Lineage: Eukaryota; Viridiplantae; Streptophyta; Magnoliopsida; Apiales; Araliaceae
Description: long non-coding RNA (PGIN_LNC007066)
Source: RNAcentral